AGUGACCGCCAGGGAGGCCUUGCAGGGCCUCUGUCUGCUACAAGUCAGGACCUAUGCAAAAAAGCCAACCACUCCAGCCCCACUCCCAACUGCCAUCUCAAGACAAAGCACUACCUGGAAAAUUUAGAAGAAAAUUAUCUGCCCAGUGAGCCUCCCAAUUAUGACUCGUCUAAAAAAUGGAUUACCACCUCUAAUGUCAAGAAAAAAAGAAGGGUAAUUGUGGAAGGGGCUAACAGCGGGCCUAUUAGCCAAAGAAGCUGAGAAGAAGCUGAGAAGCAAGAAGAAGCUGAUAAGCAGCUUUCUCCAAGGCUGUCACCAAGGAGACUAAGAGAAGAGAGGAAUUGAAGAAAGAUAAGGAGAGAACUUUGCAGCUGGAUGAAGUAUUUUUAGAAAGUUAGCUGAAGCCACUGUUACUUUUCACCAAUGGUAUUAUGUUGAAUUAUUGUGGCCAAUAGUUAAGGUAGAAGAAGGAUAAACAAUUAAAAAGUGUAUAAAAGGUCAGCCAUCUUCGAGAAGAAACAGUUGCCAUCUGAAACUGCUUACUGUCUAUACUUUGUGUCGCGACCACCUCAACAGCGACAUCUGUUGAACCCCGACUGCUAUUGCACCCUACCCUGAGGAACAGUGUUUGGUGAUCACUGAGUGGAACAACAUACUCGGUUUGGACACAUACGGGGUCCCAGCGACUGGCAACCGUGACCCACUGGGAAAGAGUGGGGGAGGUGGCGUUGGUGUAGCUGAGAGUGGCGUGUGGAAGCCACAGGGAGGUCCAGACCUGAAUUUCUCCUGUCAAGACACCUGGAAACAGAGCCCUGCAAAAAUCCAUAGCAGCUGUAUUUACAGGUCAAAAACAAAAAGGGGGAAUUGUGGAAGGGGCUAACAGCGGGCCUGUUAGCCAAAGAAGCUGAGAAGAAGCUGAGAAGCAAGAAGAAGAUGAUAAGCAGCUUUCUCCAAGGCUGUCACCAAGGAGACUAAGAGAAGAGAGGAAUUGAAGAAAGAUAAGGAGAGAACUUUGCAGCUGGAUGAAGUAUUUUUAGAAAGUUACUCGAAGUCACUGUUAUUUUUCACCAAUGGUGUUAUGUUGAAUUAUUGUGGCCAAUAGUUAAGGUAGAAGAAGGAUAAACAAUUAAAAAGUGUAUAAAAGGUCAGCCAUCUUCGAGAAGAAACAGUUGCCAUCUGAAA
Molecule: non-coding RNA, 1182 nt
Organism: Taeniopygia guttata (zebra finch)
Lineage: Eukaryota; Metazoa; Chordata; Aves; Passeriformes; Estrildidae
Source: RefSeq, a predicted model, not a curated record